Molecule: long non-coding RNA, 2008 nt
Organism: Cyanistes caeruleus (blue tit)
Lineage: Eukaryota; Metazoa; Chordata; Aves; Passeriformes; Paridae
Source: Ensembl
CUCUGUGGGGACAGGGACAGGGACAGGGACAGGGACAGGGACAGGGACAGGGACAGGGAGGGGACAGGGACAGGGACAGGGAUGGGGACAGGGACAGGGACAGGGACAGGGACAGGGACAGGGACACCUCCAGCUGUCCCAGGGUGCUCCAAGAGACAGUGCCAGGGCUGGCACAGGGACAUGGGACAGGGAUGUGGGACACCAGGACAUGGGACAGGGACACCAGGACACAAGCAGGGACAUGGGAACACCAGGACACGGGACAGGGACACCAGGACACGGGACAGGGACACAGCACAGGGCCACCUCCACCCACCCCGCUCCGAUCCCCAUCCAUCCCAGGCCUGGCUCAGCCCGGGGGGGGCUUCCCGUGCCCCCCUUCCCCCCGUCACGGUGUCCCCGUGUCCCCGUGUCCCCUCAGGGUGUCCUUCUGCACCUUCCUGGCGCACGAGUACCCGGAGCUGGUGCACAAGGUGAUCAUGAUCAACGGCGGUGGCCCCACGGCGCUGGAGCCCAGCCUGUGCUCCAUCUUCAACCUGCCGCCCUGCGUGCUGCACUGCCUGGCGCCCUGCCUGGCCUGGAGCUUCCUCAGGUGUGUCCGGGGGGUUUUGGGGUGUCUGGGGGGGUUUUGGGGUGUCUGGGGUGGUUUUUGGGGUGUCUGGGGGGUUUUUGGGGUGUCUGGGGUGGUUUUUGGGGGUGUCUGGGGGGAUUUUGGGGUCCCCUGACCCCCCCGGGACCCCCCCAGACCUGGUGACCCCCAACGGGCUGAACGUGCGCAAGUUCUCGGCCAUGCACGAGUUCCAGAACCUUCACGCCCAGAGCAAGGCCCGCGUCCAGGAGUUCGUCCGGGGACACUUCUACGGGUCCGGCACCCCAAAAGGGACCCCGGAAACGUGAAAGGAACCCCAAAAAACCCAAAAAUGGACCCCAAAAACCCCCAAAACCCCAAAAGGGACCCCGGAAACGUGAAAGGGACGCCGAGAAACCCAAAAAUGGACCCCAAAAUCCCCAGAAGGGACCCCAAAAACCCCCAAAAGGGACCCCAAAAACCCCAAAAAGGGACCCCAAAAACCCCAAAAGGAACCCAAAAACCCCAAAAAUGGACCCAAAAAAUCCCUGAAAUGGACCCCAAAAACCCCAAAAGGGACCCCGGAAAUGUGAAAGGGACCUCAAAAACCCAAAAAUGGACCCAAAAACCCCGAAAGGGACCCCAAAAACCCCAAAUGGACCCAAAAAAUCCACAAAAGGGACCCCAAACACCCCAAAAAGGAACCCAAAAACCCCCAAAACCCCAAAAAUGGACCCCAAAAACCCCAAAAGGGACCCCAAACCCCUGGGGCUGGGGAGCCGGGAGUUCAUCUGGGGACACUUCGGGGUUCCCCGGGUGUUUUUGGGGUGUUUUGGGCUGUUUUGGGGGUGUUUUUGGCUGUUUGGGGCUGUUUUGGGGCUGUUUUUGGGCUGUUUCAGGCUGUUUUGGGGCUGUUUUUGGGUGUGUUUGGGGCUGUUUUGGGGCUGUUCCGGGUUGCCCAGGUGUUUUUGGGCUGUUUUGGGGGUGUUUUUGGGUGUGUUUGGGGCUGUUUCGGGCUGUUUUGGGCUGUUUCGGGGCUGUUUUGGGGCUGUUUUUGGGCUGUUUCAGGCUGUUUUGGGGUGUUUCGGGCUGUUUUUGGCUGUUUUGGGGCUGUUUUGGGGCUGUUCCGGGUUGCCCAGGUGGUUUUUGGGCUGUUUUGGGGCUGUUUCGGGCUGUUUUGGGCUGUUUCGGGCUGUUUUGGGGCUGUUUCGGGCUGUUUUGGGCUGUUUUUGGGGUGUUUUGGGCUGGUUUUGGGGUGUUUCGGGGCUGUUUUGGGCUGUUUUUGGGGUGUUUUUGGGCUGUUUUGUGGCUGUUUCGGGCUGUUUCGGGCUGUUUCGGGGCUGUUUCGGGGCUGUUUUGGGGCUGUUUCGGGCUGUUUUUGGGGUGUUUUGGGCUGUUUGGGGCUGUUUUGGGGCUGUUCCGGGCUCCCCAGGUGAGCUC